GGCAUUUGAGUUUGAGGGCAAACCGAUGGUUUUGACCGACUUAGAUAAUUCGGUUUGAUUUUGUUAUAUUUUUUUUAAUAGAAAAUUCAGCUUUCGAUUUGAACUGAAUGCUUAUAUACAUAUAUUUGAGAGAUAGGGAGAGUGAUUGAUUGAAAUUUUUUUAAUUUUUAAAUGAAUUGUUUUUUAUUAAAUAAUACUAUAUAAUUAUUUAUGGGUCUCACAUUUCUAUAUAAUUGUUAGCUAACGGUCACUUAAAUUGGAC
This 262-nucleotide unclassified non-coding RNA is filed under the name Hevea brasiliensis (rubber tree). The record is from RNAcentral. Lineage: Eukaryota; Viridiplantae; Streptophyta; Magnoliopsida; Malpighiales; Euphorbiaceae.